Molecule: RNA transcript, 1306 nt
Organism: Argiope bruennichi
Lineage: Eukaryota; Metazoa; Arthropoda; Arachnida; Araneae; Araneidae
Exons: 16
Source: RefSeq, a predicted model, not a curated record
CUUUGUGCUAUAUUAAUGCUAUUUUUGAAUUAAUUUGAAUUCCAUCAUUUUUGAAAAUUUGUAAAAAUGAGUUCCGACAAAAAUGAUGGAAAUGGACAGGGGGACAGAAGAGAAUCUUCCGAAGAAGAUCCACAACGGUCCAGACAUGCGCCUUAUGACAUCAGGCGAUUUUUGAGGAGGCGAACGGGCACAGGUGGUCGACCAAGACCAGCCCGGGGAGCACAAAGAGAGGCUCCACCAAUUGGAUUUGAGGAGCAGAGAAGAACCACACGUGAGGAGGUUCGAGCUGAGCCUCCCGUGUUGGGACAGCUAGGACCGUCCGCCAGCGCGGUCUUUCAGGGGCCCUGGGUAUCAGAUGCCCCAGCCACAGAGUCACCUCCUGUAGUGGGAGCCACAAGAACACUACAGGAGAUUCUGGACCAGCUGCCAGAUCCCAUUUCUGCUGUUCCAGAGCAACGGCCACCUCUGCGGGGUGACUCGGAUUUGUUGCAGGAUCAACCUUUUACCAUGAGAGAUGAUCAGUGAUAAGCAACCCGUCCAGUUCUCAAGACGCAGCAUUGUCUCUAAGGUGACAAUGUGCUUCUCCAAGGGGGGGCGUGUAAGACCCGCUCCUCCGCUCCCAACGACGAAGCUUGCAAAACCAGUCAGGAGGGGAAAGGUCACGUGGUAUCCGAGGGGGUGAAAACCAGGAGAGACGAACAGGAAGUGGACUAGACAAGAUAAGGACGAGGGACGACGAGCGAAGAGGAUCCAAGCCUUGGAAAUCGAGGCUUCAUUCUGGAAGCACAAAUACCAGGAUGCCCAAGGCACAAUAGCAACGCUGCAACAAACCAUCCUGCAGCUGGAACAAAAAUCGGCUGUGCAACCGCCGAUUGUGACACGCCCAGCAACACCACAACCGUUGCUGGUUUCAGAACCAGAACCCUUGAGGGUAUCCACGCCGGUAGGGACACCGGAAAGUGUGUUCACAGCGGAAAUGUCUCCCACAAGUGUUCCGCCUCCAUCACCAAGAGCGUCACCCCCCCGGCCACGCAGGCAGCCUUUCCUGCUAGUCCACAAGCAGCGCAACCUUCACCUAGGCGUCUUCGACAAACAGCCACCAGAGCAGCUGCCAGGCAGGCACGAAUAAACAUCAGAAGGUGCCUGGAAAUCGAAGAAGAGCCGGAAGUGAGGGAGAGACUUGACAUUCCACGAGCUACAUUUAGGCGCAUUAUAAGAGAAAUGCUUGGAGAGCUAAAUGCUGAGUUGCGAAUCGAAAAUGACGCUAUUGAGUUGAUGCAGUAUGCUGGCGAAGAUCACAUUGGCC